CAAAAUGGGUCAGAAUUCAUGGGU
This 24-nucleotide non-coding RNA is filed under the name Arabidopsis thaliana (thale cress). Lineage: Eukaryota; Viridiplantae; Streptophyta; Magnoliopsida; Brassicales; Brassicaceae. The record is from RNAcentral.